AUGUCCAUGGACGACUGCUUCAUCCCGCUCCCCUCCCCACUCCAUGACCGCUGGCGGUGCGGCUCUCCCCCCUGCCUCUCCCAGCUAGAUCUGGACGACCGCGCGGCCGCCGGUUCUGCCUCGCAUGGCGUCCCCAGACGCAUCCUGCGGAGCCCUAACCGCCCACUCGCCGUCCCCCCGAGGCGCCCCCCUCCUCCCCUCGAUCCGCUGCCUAAGUAUAAGGGGAAUUCGCUGCAUGCCUUCCCAGAGGAGGAGCCAAAGCAACACCAAGUCACAGUUUCACGUGCCGCUUCUAAGGGGAGAUAUGCAAGGUUUAAAGAAAAUUUGAAUGCCAAGGCAGAGGAGACAAAGCAACACCACCAUCAAGUUCCCGUCUCAUGCGCCGCUUCAAAAGGGAGGAAUCGAGCUGGUUGGAUGUCCCAGGAGAGAAGCACUCCUGAAGGUAUCAACAUGAAGGAACAUGGUUGGAGGUUUCGGUUCCCCUUCCCCGAACUCCCCAAGUCGACUUACCGUGGUGACUUGAACUCCCUUGGAAAGCCAGUUGUAAUGAAACAGAGGAAACCUCUGGAGGUGAGGAACGCUCGCCGUGAAAGAAGAGUCGCGGCCAAACAAAAGGCUGCGCGCUACCAUGCGGAGGUUGCCCUGCGUAAAUACAACAGAGCAAACAACACCAAGUUUGAGCUGGUGGAGGUAAAAGUGAUAUCUAUAUUCUCCGAGUUUGGAGGGGCCGGGGCCCAUUAUAACUUCACAGCUAAGCAGCCUGAGGACCAGCAUUCUGCUGAUGCCGACAGUACCAAGCUAUUCUUCUCUGAAGUCGACCUCUAUUUUCGGAGUGAGAAUGAUGUGAUCAUGUGCUGUAUAGUUGGGGAAAAUGACGCAGGCCAUUGGUAUGGAUGCAAAAACUACCAGCCUGUUAUUCACCCAAGCAGCGAAGCAUACGGGGGCGGUAGCAGUACUUGUAUUGACUACCCUUAUCCGGACAGCGAAAGCUCAGACAGUGAUUAG
RNAcentral lists this ribosomal RNA (1005 nucleotides) under Triticum aestivum (bread wheat). Its description in RNAcentral is "partial small subunit ribosomal RNA". The record is from RNAcentral. Lineage: Eukaryota; Viridiplantae; Streptophyta; Magnoliopsida; Poales; Poaceae.